This 447-nucleotide ribosomal RNA is filed under the name uncultured bacterium. Its description in RNAcentral is "bacterial SSU rRNA". It matches the Rfam family "Bacterial small subunit ribosomal RNA", at positions 329 to 793 of the family's 1533-position model. The record is from RNAcentral.
UGCCAGACUCCUACGGGAGGCAGCAGUGGGGAAUAUUGCACAAUGGGGGAAACCCUGAUGCAGCGACGCCGCGUGAGCGAUGAAGUAUUUCGGUAUGUAAAGCUCUCUCAGCAGGGAAGAAGAUGACGGUACCUGACUAAGAAGCCCCGGCUAACUACGUGCCAGCAGCCGCGGUAAUACGUAGGGGGCAAGCGUUAUCCGGAUUUACUGGGUGUAAAGGGAGCGUAGACGGCGAUGCAAGCCAGAUGUGAAAGCCCGGGGCUCAACCCCGGGACUGCAUUUGGAACUGUGUGGCUGGAGUGUCGGAGAGGCAGGCGGAAUUCCUAGUGUAGCGGUGAAAUGCGUAGAUAUUAGGAGGAACACCAGUGGCGAAGGCGGCCUGCUGGACGAUGACUGACGUUGAGGCUCGAAAGCGUGGGGAGCAAACAGGAUUAGAUACCCCGGUAA